GCCCGGAUAGCUCAGUCGGCAGAGCAUCAGACUUUUAGUCUGAGGGUCCAGGGUUCAAGUCCCUGUUCGGGCG
This 73-nucleotide transfer RNA is filed under the name Callorhinchus milii (elephant shark). RNAcentral's name for it is "tRNA-Lys (TTT) (tRNA-Lys-TTT-14-1)". It matches the Rfam family "tRNA". From Rfam's summary of the family: Transfer RNA (tRNA) molecules are approximately 80 nucleotides in length. Lineage: Eukaryota; Metazoa; Chordata; Chondrichthyes; Chimaeriformes; Callorhinchidae. The record is from RNAcentral.